Molecule: ribosomal RNA, 253 nt
Filed under: uncultured bacterium
Lineage: Bacteria
Description: partial 16S ribosomal RNA
Rfam family: Bacterial small subunit ribosomal RNA
Source: RNAcentral
UACAGAGGGGGCAAGCGUUGUUCGGAAUUACUGGGCGUAAAGGGCGCGUAGGCGGCCUUCUAAGUCGAACGUGAAAUCCCUGGGCUCAACCCAGGAACUGCGUCCUAUACUGGAAGGCUUGAAUCCGGGAGAGGGAUGCGGAAUUCCAGGUGUAGCGGUGAAAUGCGUAGAUAUCUGGAGGAACACCGGUGGCGAAGGCGGCAUCCUGGACCGGCAUUGACGCUGAGGCGCGAAAGCCAGGGGAGCAAACGGG